UUCCUUUUUAGAAAAAGGCGAUUCAACAUGAUAAUCUCUCCUUUCUCCUUUGUUCAUGACCGAGCUCUCUCCUUUCUCAUCCCUUCAAUCACAAUUCCUUACAUGAAAUCGGAUCCAUAUCAACAAAAAUAAGGACAAGCAUAAAAACGAUGAAAACAAAUAAAGGAAGCAACAACCGACAUAAAAAAUGCAAAUAAUGAAAUAGGAAGAAUAAGAAAAUGAAAGUGAAGCAGAAUGAAGCAACAAACUAAAGUGAAUGGCGUGCAGAAAUGUAUUAUGAAGGAAAAAAUUUGUCCAUAUAAUCAUAAAUGUUGCUCCAAGGAUGAGGACAAAGUAAUGAGACCACACUUGUAAGUUGGGAAAUUACUACACUUAGCAUUUUUAUAUUGUCUUUGUUCUCCAUGUAAAAAGUGUACCAAUCUUGAUGUAAGAAAUAAGUGAAGAUAAUCUAAUUGGUAAACAAUGUUCAUGAUUUUUUUUUUGAA
Lathyrus oleraceus (garden pea) is the source of this 485-nucleotide long non-coding RNA. RefSeq lists it as uncharacterized. NCBI's taxonomy places the organism in Eukaryota, Viridiplantae, Streptophyta, Magnoliopsida, Fabales, Fabaceae. The record is from RefSeq and is a predicted model, not a curated record. The transcript has 2 exons.